CUUUCUCUCUCUCUUUUUUUUUUAUUUACUCACAGGUCUCCCAAAAAAAUCUCACGCGUUCCCCAUGGAGGGGGAAAAACACGCGCUGUCCGCCUUUCUGCUCGGGAUCUGGUCGAGUUUGGGAGGGAGAAAGUGCUUUGGAAACUCCUGUUGUCUUCUCCCCUCCCUCCACAAUCCCACUCUCAUUCAAGUAACCACAGAACAAACUUUUGUUGUUUGUUUGUUUGUUUUUCUAAUGAGGAGCCUGACAAGACUUCUAGAUGUUUGUUUUGCCCCCAACAUUAUCAUGAUCUUAAUAAAUCAUUUUGAACUUCC
Molecule: long non-coding RNA, 315 nt
Organism: Clarias gariepinus (North African catfish)
Lineage: Eukaryota; Metazoa; Chordata; Actinopteri; Siluriformes; Clariidae
Exons: 2
Source: RefSeq, a predicted model, not a curated record